GUAUUAGAGGCAUUGCCUGCCCAGUGACUAAAGUUAAACGGCCGCGGUAUCCUGACCGUGCAAAGGUAGCAUAAUCACUUGUUCCUUAAUUAGGGACUAGAAUGAAUGGCUAAACGAGGGUUCAACUGUCUCUUACUUUCAAUCAGUGAAAUUGACCUUCCAGUGAAGAGGCUGGAAUCUCCCAAUAAGACGAGAAGACCCUAUGGAGCUUUAAUUUACUAGUUCAACUUAUAUAAAAACAACCUAAUGGGCUAAAACAAAAUAAAUAUGAACUAAAAAAUUUCGGUUGGGGUGACCUCGGAGAAUAAAAAAUCCUCCGAAUGAUUUUAACCUAGACUCACAAGUCAAAGUAAUACUAAUAUCUUAUUGACCCAAUUAUUGAUCAACGGACCAAGUUACCCUAGGGAUAACAGCGCAAUCCUAUUUAAGAGUUCAUAUCGACAAUUAGGGUUUACGACCUCGAUGUUGGAUCAGGACAUCCCAAUGGUGCAGAAGCUAUUAAUGGUUCGUUUGUUCAACGAUUAAAGUCCUACGUGAUCUGG
This 542-nucleotide ribosomal RNA is filed under the name Rattus norvegicus (Norway rat). Its description in RNAcentral is "partial large subunit ribosomal RNA". It matches the Rfam family "Bacterial large subunit ribosomal RNA", at positions 1843 to 2608 of the family's 2925-position model. Lineage: Eukaryota; Metazoa; Chordata; Mammalia; Rodentia; Muridae. The record is from RNAcentral.